AUACGGAGGAUGCAAGCGUUAUCCGGAUUUAUUGGGUUUAAAGGGUGCGCAGGCGGCGCGUUAAGUCAGCGGUGAAAUCUCCCGGCUCAACCGGGGAACUGCCGUUGAUACUGGCGUGCUCGAGUACGGACGGCGCCGGCGGAAUGUGUCAUGUAGCGGUGAAAUGCUUAGAUAUGCCACAGAACACCGAUCGCGAAGGCAGCUGGCGAGGCCGGUACUGACGCUCAGGCACGAAAGCGUGGGGAUCAAACAGGAUUAGAUACCCUGGUAGUCCACGCAGUAAACGAUGAAGACUUGUUGUCGGCGAUAGACAGCCGGUAACAAAGCGAAAGCGAUAAGUCUUCCACCUGGGGAGUACGAUCGCAAGGUUGAAACUCAAAUGAAUUGACGGGG
This 393-nucleotide ribosomal RNA is filed under the name uncultured bacterium. Its description in RNAcentral is "partial 16S ribosomal RNA". It matches the Rfam family "Bacterial small subunit ribosomal RNA", at positions 523 to 918 of the family's 1533-position model. The record is from RNAcentral.